GUUAUUCUUGAUUUGUGUAUUAUUGAUCUUUGAAGUGACGCUGUGAUGAGUUUGAAUUAUAUUUAAAGAUCUUCAUCUUGGUGCCGUACGACUUUGUCAAAGUCAUUGAUUGUCUAUGAUGUAUGUUACAAAUUUCAUUGUUCCCAUAAUUUGGCGAUACUAAGACAACAUGUAAGGAAGGGCAAUGAUGUCAAAGAUUGCGGAUCUUAGGUUUAUACCGAUGAGGAAAAUAGAGUGGUACAUAUCAGUUAUUCGAAGAAUUGUUUUGUUAUUAUAGAGAAAAGUCUUUCAAGUUU
RNAcentral lists this long non-coding RNA (296 nucleotides) under Medicago truncatula (barrel medic). RNAcentral describes it as "lncRNA gene40180". Lineage: Eukaryota; Viridiplantae; Streptophyta; Magnoliopsida; Fabales; Fabaceae. The record is from RNAcentral.